Non-coding RNA from Pteropus alecto (black flying fox), 120 nucleotides. The record is from Rfam. NCBI's taxonomy places the organism in Eukaryota, Metazoa, Chordata, Mammalia, Chiroptera, Pteropodidae.
GUCUACGGCCAUGCCACCCUGAACGUGCCCGAUCUCGUCUGAUCUCAGAAGCUAAGCAGGGUUUGGGCCUGGUUAGUACUUGGAUGGGAGACCACCUAGGAAUACCAGGUGCUGUAGGCA